This 243-nucleotide ribosomal RNA is filed under the name Lingulaulax polyedra. RNAcentral describes it as "Lingulodinium polyedra partial Bacterial large subunit ribosomal RNA". It matches the Rfam family "Bacterial large subunit ribosomal RNA", at positions 1726 to 1977 of the family's 2925-position model. Lineage: Eukaryota; Dinophyceae; Gonyaulacales; Lingulodiniaceae. The record is from RNAcentral.
CUCCGUAAGUUCGCGAGAAGGAGGCCCGGGUUUCAGGCAACUGAAGUCCGGGGGCACAAACCAGGGGGUGGCGACUGUUUACUAAAAACACAGGGCUCUGCGAAGUCGCAAGACGACGUAUAGGGUCUGACGCCUGCCCGGUGCCUGAAGGUUAAAAGGAGGGGUGAGAGCUCCGAAUUGAAGCCCAGGUAAACGGCGGCCGUAACUAUAACGGUCCUAAGGUAGCGAAAUUCCUUGUCGGGU